Molecule: ribosomal RNA, 530 nt
Filed under: uncultured bacterium
Lineage: Bacteria
Description: bacterial SSU rRNA
Rfam family: Bacterial small subunit ribosomal RNA
Source: RNAcentral
UGGGGAAUAUUGCGCAAUGGGCGAAAGCCUGACGCAGCAACGCCGCGUGAGGGAUGAAGUACGUCGGGAUGUAAACCUCUUUCAGUGGGGACGAAGCGAAAGUGACGGUACCCGCAAAAGAAGCACCGGCUAACUACGUGCCAGCAGCCGCGGUAAUACGUAGGGUGCAAGCGUUGUCCGGAUUUAUUGGGCGUAAAGGGCUCGUAGGCGGUCUGUCGCGUCGGAUGUGAAAACUCAGAGCUUAACUCUGGGCCUGCAUUCGAUACGGGCAGACUAGAGUUCGGUAGGGGAGACUGGAACUCCUGGUGUAGCGGUGGAAUGCGCAGAUAUCAGGAAGAACACCAGUGGCGAAGGCGGUCUGCUGGGCCGUUGCUGACGCUGAGGCGCGACAGCGUGGGGAGCAAACAGGAUUAGAUACCCUGGUAGUCCACGCCGUAAACGAUGGGCACUAGGCGUCGGGGGGAGCGACCCUCUCGGUGCCGUCGCUAACGCAAUAAGUGCCCCGCCUGGGGAGUACGGCCGCAAGGCUG